GACGAACGCUGGCGGCGUGCUUAACACAUGCAAGUCGAACGGAAAGGCCCUGCUUUUGUGGGGUGCUCGAGUGGCGAACGGGUGAGUAACACGUGAGUAACCUGCCCUUGACUUUGGGAUAACUUCAGGAAACUGGGGCUAAUACCGUAUAGGAGCUCCUGCUCCAUGGUGGGGGUUGGAAAGUUUCGGCGGUUGGGGAUGGACUCGCGGGUUAUCAGCUUGUUGGUGGGGUAGUGGCUUACCAAGGCAUUGACGGGUAGGCGGCCUGAGAGGGUGACCGGGCACAUUGGGACUGAGAGACGGACCAGAGGCGUACGGGAGGCAGCAGGGGGGAAUAUUGCACAAUGGGCGGAAGCCGGAGGCAGCAACGCCGCGUGCGGGAUGACGGCCUUCGGGUUGUAAACCGCUUUCGCCUGUGACGAAGCGUGAGUGACGGUAAUGGGUAAAGAAGCACCGGCUAACUACGUG
This 468-nucleotide ribosomal RNA is filed under the name uncultured bacterium. RNAcentral describes it as "partial 16S ribosomal RNA". It matches the Rfam family "Bacterial small subunit ribosomal RNA", at positions 28 to 507 of the family's 1533-position model. The record is from RNAcentral.